This 103-nucleotide small nuclear RNA is filed under the name Nicotiana sylvestris (wood tobacco). The record is from RNAcentral. Lineage: Eukaryota; Viridiplantae; Streptophyta; Magnoliopsida; Solanales; Solanaceae.
UUAACUAAUUAUGGAACAUGAUAAAGUUGGAAAGAUACAAAAAAGAUUAGCAUUGCGCAUGCGCUGGAAUGACAAACAAAACAGAGAAAUGUGGUAGGUCUCA